AGUGGGAUAGCUGGGUCAAAUGGUGGUUCCAUUCCAAGUUUUCUAAGGAAUCUCCAUACUGCUUUCCAGAGUGGUUGCACCAAUUUGCAUUGCUCCCAGUGAU
This 103-nucleotide microRNA precursor is filed under the name Marmota monax (woodchuck). The record is from RNAcentral. Lineage: Eukaryota; Metazoa; Chordata; Mammalia; Rodentia; Sciuridae.